This 456-nucleotide ribosomal RNA is filed under the name uncultured bacterium. Its description in RNAcentral is "bacterial SSU rRNA". It matches the Rfam family "Bacterial small subunit ribosomal RNA", at positions 28 to 480 of the family's 1533-position model. The record is from RNAcentral.
GAUGAACGCUGGCGGCGUGCUUAACACAUGCAAGUCGAACGAAGCACUUUGAUCGAUUUCUUCGGAUUGAAAUUUUAGUGACUGAGUGGCGGACGGGUGAGUAACGCGUGGGUAACCUGCCUCACACAGGGGGAUAACAGUUGGAAACGGCUGCUAAUACCGCAUAAGCGCACAGUACCGCAUGGUACAGUGUGAAAAAACUCCGGUGGUGUGAGAUGGACCCGNGUCUGAUUAGCUAGUUGGCAGGGCAACGGCCUACCAAGGCGACGAUCAGUAGCCGACCUGAGAGGGUGACCGGCCACAUUGGGACUGAGACACGGGCCCAAAACUCCUACGGGAGCAGCAGUGGGGAAUAUUGCACAAUGGAGGAAACUCUGAUGCAGCGACGCCGCGUGAGUGAAGAAGUAGUUCGCUAUGUAAAAGCUCUAUCAAGCAGGGAAGAUAGUGACGGUACCU